Dreissena polymorpha is the source of this 1941-nucleotide long non-coding RNA. RefSeq lists it as uncharacterized. Lineage: Eukaryota; Metazoa; Mollusca; Bivalvia; Myida; Dreissenidae. The transcript is spliced from 3 exons. The record is from RefSeq and is a predicted model, not a curated record.
AAAACUCAAGAUGUUAAAAGCAUGCGGUUAUUAAUCAAUUGGAUUUUCUCACAAGCCGACAAAAUUUCGAUGUAGAAAUAUGAAAGAAGAAUUCGACCAAUUGCAGGCAAUAUCGGAAAACAGGAUUUCGGUAGUGAGAUUUCGACAAAAAACCCGUACUUCAAUAAACGCUCCCAAAACGUUCAUCUUUCAAUGAAGUACCCAAUAACAUAUCGAAAUGUAACAGACUCACAAAGGAUCAGGGAAAUACCGGCAAAAAGAAUGGGUGAUAUCGCUAAAUUGCUUUUAAGACAGAAGAUAAAAUGAUCUAUUUAGAAAUAGGCACUACCUAGGGACCAUGGAUGAUUACAAAAUGAUUUAUUGUAUUGUAACCGUAAAUCAAGAUUACGGCGACUCCCGUAGAUAUUUGAUAUAUCACGAAUACAUCGGCCUAGUGAACGUGUUACUGUUAACGUUAUCAUUUCACGCGGUACAAUUGUUGGAGUCAAAGUUCGCACGUCACGUGAAAAAGACGACAGUGAACGGACUAAGAGGCGUUUCUGGUACAAGCGUAACAGAACGGAUCAAUACUGAGAUACUUUGGUCGUACGACAUUUUCCUGUGAUACAAAAAAGUUUGACAGAAAAAUUCUUCUUUGCCGUUCUUUUCUUUUCCAAAAAAAAAUGGAAAAACCAUCGACGUCAACGUCCUCGCCCACAAGUGAAAGCAGCACUUACUCUAUUCAUGACCCGCCUGGGUACAUCAAGCCUUCUUUGCAAGAUAUGCUCCUCACCGACGUUAACGCUGACGAGUUGUUGACAAUCGCAAAGAUACUUCGAGUGGACUACUUGGGGCCAGCUGCAUUUCCUUGUUCCUUCCCACAAUCUGGUUUAAUUCAUGGAAAUAACAAACGACUCAUGGUCUCUCUCUCUUGUCGCAGAGAAGGAAAAAACUCAAAGGCCAUCAACAUCAUCUUCCUCAUCGACACAGGCUCCCCAAACACGUUUUUGUCAGACAAGGCUAUGGAGGCACUUGUUGGAAAGGCUGAUUGCUAUAUGAGCGGGCCGAUGGCUGUCAUGAUUCAUACGAAAAAAGUUAUCGUUUGCUAUUUAUCACCUCAUGACAAACACUUUUCGGAUGUGAAUGUGCUUGGAAUGGAUUUCCUGUCGGACAAUAUGCUUUCACUAUUUAUAAACUACGGCCAGAAAUCUUUUGAACUGACUAUGAUAUAAAAACCAUUUGUCUAUUGAUGAGAAAUUACGAAUAAUUUCAUAUGAAAAUGGUAUCAUUCGGUGCUCUAUCUAUACUACUUUAUGAAAUAAAAACCAUUUGUCUAUUGAUGAGAAAUUACGAAUAAUUUCAUAUGAAAAUGGUAUCAUUCGGUGCUCUAUCUAUACUACUUCACUAUAACCUAAUAAACCUAUGCCACAGCAUGGUGUAAGAACAGGAAAUUAUUUGUUGCGAUGCAAACUAUUGAGUAUUGAUAGCAAACCUCCGCGCAGAGCUUUGACUGGUUCCGAGCAUAUAUCGAUAUCAAAUCCCUGCCGUUAUAACCAACCACGUGAUGAAAGCCAAGCUAGUACAAAACUUUUCCGGUUUUAAUUUUUACUUUUCUUUAUUUAGUUUUUUUUUAAAUUAUGAACCUGAAAUUAUACACUAUUUUCGAAGUAUAACAGAAAAUGAUACUUCUUUUCAUAAUAUGAUACCUAAAUAUAACCUUCCACAUCUGGAAGGAUUUUCUUGUGAUGGCAGUGGUUAUCACAAGUAGCCGUGGGUAGAUAACCGCUGCGUGAAGUUUAAUUAAGAGCGUCAGGCAAGCCGUGACAAUAAUCGUUCGUCUUCCUCGAAGGUUACAUGUUGCCAUUUAACCCCACAACGAACACUGUGUUGCAUUUAUUUUGUCAUUGGAUUACAUGUAUAAAGGAAACUAUAAUAAAAACAACAUCAGUGUAAAUAGCAACA